Pelobates cultripes (western spadefoot toad) is the source of this 355-nucleotide non-coding RNA. Lineage: Eukaryota; Metazoa; Chordata; Amphibia; Anura; Pelobatidae. The record is from the annotation of a GenBank genome assembly.
CUUUUUAAACAUAUUGUGCAGUAGAGACAUGACAUUUUAAAGUAAAUCAAGUAAAUGUUCUAUGCUCAGGUACCUGUAUACAAUUCAUUACAAUACAUCUUAUAUAUGUAUGUGUUGAUGAAUAUUGCUUGAGCAUUAGAAUUAGUUUGUUUGUUUUUACAAAUCUGCAUUGAUUGUUUCCAGGAGAUGCUAUGCAUAAUACAAAACACUCAUAAUUCCACUGUCUGAAUAAACAGAUAAUUUGAGGUUAAUAGUUACAAGCAAUGUUAAAAGUACUGCUUUUCUGUGCUCUAUUUCAGUACAACUCGCCAAUUUAGUCAAUAUUUCACAUCUUCUUAUACUUUUACUUCUUCUG